ACUCCUACGGGAGGCAGCAGUAGGGAAUCUUUCCACAAUGGGCGGCAAGCCUGAUGGAGCAACACCGCGUGAGUGAAGAAGGGUUUCGGCUCGUAAAGCUCUGUUGUUAAAGAAGAACACGUAUGAGAGUAACUGUUCAUACGUUGACGGUAUUUAACCAGAAAGUCACGGCUAACUACGUGCCAGCAGCCGCGGUAAUACGUAGGUGGCAAGCGUUAUCCGGAUUUAUUGGGCGUAAAGAGAGUGCAGGCGGUUUUCUAAGUCUGAUGUGAAAGCCUUCGGCUUAACCGGAGAAGUGCAUCGGAAACUGGAUAACUUGAGUGCAGAAGAGGGUAGUGGAACUCCAUGUGUAGCGGUGGAAUGCGUAGAUAUAUGGAAGAACACCAGUGGCGAAGGCGGCUACCUGGUCUGCAAACUGACGCUGAGACUCGAAAGCAUGGGUAGCGAACAGGAUUAGAUACCCUGGUAGGAUAGCG
Molecule: ribosomal RNA, 476 nt
Filed under: uncultured bacterium
Lineage: Bacteria
Description: bacterial SSU rRNA
Rfam family: Bacterial small subunit ribosomal RNA
Source: RNAcentral